UGGUUUUCCCACCUCAGCCUCCUAAAUAGCUGGGAUUACAGGCACCCACCACCACACCUGGCUAAUUUUUGUAUUUUUAGUAGAGAUGGGGUUUCACCAUGUUGGCCAGGCUGGUCUCAAACUCCUCGGUUUAAUUCUGUUGUGGGUAGAGAAUAUAUUUUAUGUGAUCUAAGGCCCAGCAUAUAUGUGUGAACAUUCUGUGUAGACUUGAAAAGGAUAUAUAUUCUGUAGUCGUUAGGUUUAGUGUUCUAUAGUACCUUCAAUUGGCUUUAAAAAAUUUUUUUUU
This 286-nucleotide long non-coding RNA is filed under the name Pan troglodytes (chimpanzee). RNAcentral's name for it is "long non-coding RNA NONPTRT005725". Lineage: Eukaryota; Metazoa; Chordata; Mammalia; Primates; Hominidae. The record is from RNAcentral.